Molecule: ribosomal RNA, 298 nt
Filed under: uncultured Sphingomonadaceae bacterium
Lineage: Bacteria; Pseudomonadati; Pseudomonadota; Alphaproteobacteria; Sphingomonadales; Sphingomonadaceae
Description: partial 16S ribosomal RNA
Rfam family: Bacterial small subunit ribosomal RNA
Source: RNAcentral
UAACGCGUGGGAAUCUGCCUAUCAGUGGGGAAUAACGACGGGAAACUGUCGCUAAUACCGCAUACGCCCUUAGGGGGAAAGAUUUAUCGCUGAUAGAUGAGCCCGCGUACGAUUAGCUAGUUGGUGAGGUAAUGGCUCACCAAGGCAACGAUCGUUAGCUGGUCUGAGAGGAUGAUCAGCCACACUGGGACUGAGACACGGCCCAGACUCCUACGGGAGGCAGCAGUGGGGAAUAUUGGACAAUGGGCGAAAGCCUGAUCCAGCAAUGCCGCGUGAGUGAUGAAGGCCUUAGGGUUGU